Molecule: unclassified non-coding RNA, 846 nt
Filed under: Hevea brasiliensis (rubber tree)
Lineage: Eukaryota; Viridiplantae; Streptophyta; Magnoliopsida; Malpighiales; Euphorbiaceae
Source: RNAcentral
AAAAUAUUUGCAUUUAUAAUUUGUUGAAUUUGUUUUUUCUCUGCUAUGGAUUCUUCCUCACCUUUUGACUCUAUUAUUUUCGAUUUGGAUGAUACUCUGUAUUCGUCUGCGACUGGAAUUGGACAAUCGUUGAAGAAGAACAUUGACGAUUUUCUGGUGGAGAAAUGCGGUUUUCCGGUUUCGAAAGCAUCGGCUUUGCGUGUUGAGCUUUUCAAAACUUACGGCAGUUCUCUUGCCGGAUUACGAGCUAUAGGUUAUGAUGUUGAUGCCGAUGAUUAUCACAGCUAUGUGCACGGAAGAUUACCGUAUGAUUUGAUUAAACCGGAUCCCCAAUUACGAAGCAUUUUGCGUAGUAUUAAUCAAAGGAAAAUUAUUUUCACGAAUUCGGAUCGAAUUCAUGCGAUGAAGGCUUUGGAUCGUCUGGGAAUUACGGAUUGUUUUGAACAGAUCAUUUGUUUCGAGACGAUGAAUUUUAACCUCUCUAAGGCAACAAGGCCGGAAGAGAUUCCGGUGAUAUUGAAGCCUUCAAUGGAGGCAAUGAAUAUCGCCAUUGAAGCUGCUCAGGUCGAUCCUUAUCGCACGCUCUUCCUUGAUGAUAAUGUUAAGAACAUUGCUGCUGGAAAAGCUGUGGGGCUUCAAACAGUUUUGGUUGGAAGAUCAACCAAGACAAAAGAAGCUGACUAUGCAUUAGAGAUAGUGACUGAUUUGGUUCAAGUAGUACCAGCAAUAUGGUUCAAGGAAGAAGAAAAAGAUCAAAAAGUAACACGUACAAGAAGUGAAAUGGACUUUCUUGCAACUACAUCUGUGGUUGCUUAAUCUAUGUCAAGAAGAAAAAGAUCAAAAAGU